This 453-nucleotide unclassified non-coding RNA is filed under the name Hevea brasiliensis (rubber tree). Lineage: Eukaryota; Viridiplantae; Streptophyta; Magnoliopsida; Malpighiales; Euphorbiaceae. The record is from RNAcentral.
CCAUACAUCACUUAUAAAUAUGUAUCUAUGUAGUUAAACACUAGGCACAUUUUAUAUUGCAUUCUUAAUUGAUGAAGUGCCAUGAAUGUUGUUUUUGGUAAUUUAAAGCAGUGUGCGUGCAUUGGUGUGCGUGUGUUGUGUGGAAUUGGAUAUGGAUAGGACGGAUAGAUGUGGCUUGAGAGACACUCACUGGGACCCGGUCCUUUAUGGAUAAGUCGGGGUAGGCACGACUCGAGAUGAUCUCGUUGGCCUCCGCAUUUGGUCUAUUAAGCGAAAGUUCGGCUUGAGAGACACUCGCUAGUAAAAGUUGAAUUAAAAGAGCUGUAUAGGGGGAUCAACUCCCGUAUAUGUACUGUUUGAAUAUGAUUAGGUGUGUGAGUGCCCCAAAUUACCUUUUUACUGUUAUGAUAUGAUUGUAUAAAAAUUAUUAUGGUGUUGCAUUCCACUCUUUAG